RNAcentral lists this transfer RNA (85 nucleotides) under Felis catus (domestic cat). It matches the Rfam family "tRNA". From Rfam's summary of the family: Transfer RNA (tRNA) molecules are approximately 80 nucleotides in length. Lineage: Eukaryota; Metazoa; Chordata; Mammalia; Carnivora; Felidae. The record is from Rfam by way of RNAcentral.
GCCUGGAUGGCUCAGUCGGUUAAGCAUCUGACUUCGGCUCAGGUCAUGAUCUCACGGUUUGUGAGUUCAAGCCCCAUGUCGGGCU